GAUGAAGAACGUAGCGAAAUGCGAUAAGUAGUGUGAAUUGCAGAAUACAGUGAAUCAUCGAAUCUUUGAACGCACAUUGCGCCCGCGAGUAUUCUCGCGGGCAUGCCUGUCCGAGCGUCAUUUCAACCCUCAGGGCCCGCCUGCUUCGGCAGGCGCGGCGCUGGUGUUGGGGAUCGGCCUAACCGCCGUCCCCCAAAUACAGUGGCGGUCUCGCUGCAGCCUCCCCUGCGUAGUAGCAACACUCGCAUGCGGAGCGCGGCGCGGCCACGCCGUAAAACCCCCGACUUUCUGAACGUUGACCUCGGAUCAGGUAGGAAUACCCGCUGAACUUAAGCAUAUCAAUAAGCGGAGGA
RNAcentral lists this unclassified non-coding RNA (353 nucleotides) under soil metagenome. RNAcentral's name for it is "partial contains 5.8S ribosomal RNA, internal transcribed spacer 2, and large subunit ribosomal RNA". The stretch from base 1 to 120 matches the Rfam family "5.8S ribosomal RNA", at positions 35 to 154 of the family's 154-position model. The record is from RNAcentral.